This 647-nucleotide ribosomal RNA is filed under the name Sarcocystis tenella. RNAcentral's name for it is "SSU rRNA". It matches the Rfam family "Eukaryotic small subunit ribosomal RNA", at positions 455 to 1077 of the family's 1831-position model. The record is from RNAcentral. Lineage: Eukaryota; Apicomplexa; Conoidasida; Eucoccidiorida; Sarcocystidae.
CUCAGGGAGGUAGUGACAAGAAAUAACAACACUGGAAAUUUUAUUUCUAGUGAUUGGAAUGAUGGGAAUUUAAACCCCUUUCAGAGUAACAAUUGGAGGGCAAGUCUGGUGCCAGCAGCCGCGGUAAUUCCAGCUCCAAUAGCGUAUAUUAAAGUUGUUGCAGUUAAAAAGCUCGUAGUUGGAUGUCUGCUGGAAGCAAUCAGUCCGCCCUAUUUGUAGGGUGUGCACUUGAUGAAUUCUGGCAUUUUUGUCCCAAUGAUGUAGCGGGGCGGUGGUAUUCAGUGAAAGCUGAGUAUCCUGUUUUCCGAUUAUUGGGAUACUGUUACUUUGAGAAAAUUAGAGUGUUUGAAGCAGGCUAAUUGCCUUGAAUACUGGAGCAUGGAAUAACAAUAUAGGAUUUCGGUUCUAUUUUGUUGGUUUCUAGGACUGAAAUAAUGAUUAAUAGGGACAGUUGGGGGCAUUCGUAUUUAACUGUCAGAGGUGAAAUUCUUAGAUUUGUUAAAGACGAACUACUGCGAAAGCGUUUGCCAAAGAUGUUUUCAUUAAUCAAGAACGAAAGUUAGGGGCUCGAAGACGAUCAGAUACCGUCGUAGUCUUAACCAUAAACUAUGCCGACUAGAGAUAGGAAAAUGUCAUUUUGCUGACUU